Molecule: non-coding RNA, 89 nt
Filed under: Escherichia coli
Lineage: Bacteria; Pseudomonadati; Pseudomonadota; Gammaproteobacteria; Enterobacterales; Enterobacteriaceae
Also listed under: 14 other names
Source: RNAcentral
UCAUCCCUCAAGGAUCGACGGGAUUAGCAAGUCAGGAGGUCUUAUGAAUGAGUUCAAGAGGUGUAUGCGCGUGUUUAGUCAUUCUCCCU